GUUUAAAUAUGGAUGCCCAGGGCAAAUGUCAGAAUAACUCAAAAAUAAUUGCAGUCUGCUUCGAGUACCUCUGAAUCAUCAAUACCAGUUGUUUGGUUAAUUCUAGGGCCAAAUAAAAAGAUCGCUCACUGAAGUGAAUAUACCUUGAAGCCACACAAACAGCAGCAUUGCCUCUCAUGUAUAAAAAGCUGUGGCUCAAUAAAUUGUGUCCAUGGUUUUUGCAGAUUACCCUUUUGCUUAUAGUUACAAUCAGUGCUUUGGAAAAAAAAAAUCUUAAUUAGGUGCAUCCUUGGGGGAGGUCGAGGAAGCGCUCCAUCCUGCUUUUUCUGAUAUUAACUCUCUUUUUAACUUUUGGGCAAGGUACGACACUGUUGGAUGAGAGCGAGAAAACCAAAAAAUGAAGAUCAAGCUUUUACCACGGUGCAUUAUUUCUUUGAUGCCCUGUGGUGGCUUAUAUGUACACUCCAUUUGCCGGAUAAAAAAACAAAAAAAACAUAAAACAUUACUGACAUUAACACUCCUGCUUUCUCCCGGAGAGGCACUGUCAUUUUCAAGACAGGAACAUUUGCUCCGUCAUGCUCUCUCAUUCUCUCCCUCAGCCUCGACUUUACUGAUACUGUCAUUUCGGAAACAGCCUUUUCUCAGUCGCUCUCCAUCACCCUCUCCUCUCCUCUCUCCCUCUCUCGUUCUGCUCUUCCUACUUCCAUUCUCCCCUCUUUUAUUUCUCAACCUCUCCUUCCCCCUGUCCUCCCUCCUCACCAACGCAGGCAAGAUAACAUGCAGCCGUUCCAGCCCAUGUCUAAAGACUUAAGACAGCCAUUGGUGUCUCUAUGGUUGUGUCAUGCACCUCCGAACAGCGUGGAGGAAUUACAGGAUUCCACACAGCUUCAACUACAUUUAGGAAAAAUGUAGUGGGUUGAGAAAAACACCAGCAGGUCAAAUGCAUUUCAGACACAUUGUAAAUCCCCCACUUAAUAUCACAAUGGCGUCUCUCCACUCCAGGCCCCCCGGUGACACGGGCAGAGCACGUGCUCCUUAAAUCAUUUUAACAAAAAAAGGUCUUUAUCCAUGCCACCUUUUUUCUGUGGUGUUGGAAAGCAAUACAACCCCUAAGUGGAGAACCCCC
Molecule: long non-coding RNA, 1126 nt
Organism: Gasterosteus aculeatus aculeatus (three-spined stickleback)
Lineage: Eukaryota; Metazoa; Chordata; Actinopteri; Perciformes; Gasterosteidae
Source: Ensembl